AGUGGCGGACGGGUGAGUAACGCGUGAGAAUCUGCCUUGGGGUCGGGGACAACCACUGGAAACGGUGGCUAAUACCGGAUAAGCCGAUUGGUGAAAGAUUUAUUGCCCGAAGAGGAGCUCGCGUCUGAUUAGCUAGUUGGUGAGGUAAGAGCUCACCAAGGCAGCGAUCAGUAGCUGGUCUGAGAGGACGAUCAGCCACACUGGGACUGAGACACGGCCCAGACUCCUACGGGAGGCAGCAGUGGGGAAUUUUCCGCAAUGGGCGAAAGCCUGACGGAGCAAGACCGCGUGAGGGAGGAAGGCUCUUGGGUUGUAAACCUCUUUUCUCAGGGAAGAAGCUCUGACGGUACCUGAGGAAUCAGCCUCGGCUAACUCCGUGCCAGCAGCCGCGGUAAUACGGAGGAGGCAAGCGUUAUCCGGAAUUAUUGGGCGUAAAGCGUCCGCAGGUGGCGAUUCAAGUCUGCUGUCAAAGCACGGGGCUUAACUCCGUAAAGGCAGUGGAAACUGAAUAGCUAGAGUGCCGUAGGGGUAGAGGGAAUUCCCGGUGUAGCGGUGAAAUGCGUGGAGAUCGGGAAGAACAUCGGUGGCGAAAGCGCUCUACUGGACGGCAACUGACACUCAGGGACGAAAGCUAGGGGAGCGAAUGGGAUUAGAUACCCC
RNAcentral lists this ribosomal RNA (660 nucleotides) under uncultured bacterium. RNAcentral describes it as "bacterial SSU rRNA". It matches the Rfam family "Bacterial small subunit ribosomal RNA", at positions 94 to 788 of the family's 1533-position model. The record is from RNAcentral.